UUGGCAUGAUGAGGAAUACGAUUGUUGUCUCAUCUAGUAUUUGAUUAUAAAAAUCCUCCUACUCAUUCUGA
Molecule: small nucleolar RNA, 71 nt
Filed under: Triticum aestivum (bread wheat)
Lineage: Eukaryota; Viridiplantae; Streptophyta; Magnoliopsida; Poales; Poaceae
Description: Small nucleolar RNA Z105
Rfam family: Small nucleolar RNA Z105
About the family: This family consists of several snoRNA Z105 sequences which are members of the C/D class of snoRNA which contain the C (UGAUGA) and D (CUGA) box motifs. This family seems to be found exclusively in plants.
Source: Rfam by way of RNAcentral